RNAcentral lists this long non-coding RNA (650 nucleotides) under Bos indicus x Bos taurus (hybrid cattle). RNAcentral's name for it is "lncRNA (ENSBIXG00005023523.1)". The record is from RNAcentral. Lineage: Eukaryota; Metazoa; Chordata; Mammalia; Artiodactyla; Bovidae.
UGCUGGGCCCCAUGCUGCUUAGGUUGGGAAUCUCUUCAGGCUUGCUUUCUGCAAAUCGCUGGGUACAAAACAUUAUUGCAGAUGUGGAAAAAAUGUGCAGAGAACCUGUGCUUCUGAUAAUGCCUGACAUGAAGAAAUGCAUCUGAAGGUACUGCGUGAGUACCGUAAAAAUAUAUAUAUGAUAUGCUUAUAGACAACCAACCCAUCUGGGCUACACAGCAAGUAUGUGAGGAAGGUAGACCAGGAAACAAAAAACAAAGGAAUAGAACUAAUGACUGAGUAUGGAACAGUGACCAAUUUACUUUGGAAAACAUCUUCAUUGUUUCUUUAUGAAAUUCAGGUAAACAAUAUGCCUCUUCAUUGAGUUGUGCUUUUAUGUUUGACUCACAGGAGCAAGUGACCACUGAGUCUUCUUUUUCAUUUCUGCCCAAAUCAUUAAAAGCCAUAAAAAAUGGCUCAUUGACUUACUCCUUAUGAUCAGGGUUCCUUAUGAAGACUCGUUAUAGCUUUCUCUUCUUUCACUGAGGAGAAAUUUUCUAAUUCCCUGAGAGAAACCAAACCUACCUGCAUUGUCUAUUUCUACCAGCCAGUUCAUGUUCCUAAGAUGUCUAGUAGUUUUCAGUCAUGGAAACUAUUUUUUGCAAAAAAAA